AUCACUUGUCAGCCUUUUGGCUAAGAUCAAGCGUAGUAUCUGUUCUUAACAAUUUAAUACCUGAUAUAUCCUCUAUCCAGAGACAAUAUAUUACAUGGAUUUUUGGAAUUAGGAGAUAGGAUAGGAGCUUAUUCUCUCCACUCCACCUAUCAACCGGGUGUUGCAGUACCAUUACUUCAUUGUAGAGAAAGU
Non-coding RNA from Canis lupus familiaris (dog), 192 nucleotides. The record is from Rfam. Lineage: Eukaryota; Metazoa; Chordata; Mammalia; Carnivora; Canidae.